ACGGGAGGCAGCAGUGAGGAAUAUUGGUCAAUGGACGCAAGUCUGAACCAGCCAUGCCGCGUGCAGGAUGACGGCUCUAUGAGUUGUAAACUGCUUUUGUACGAGGGUAAACGCAGAUACGUGUAUCUGUCUGAAAGUAUCGUACGAAUAAGGAUCGGCUAACUCCGUGCCAGCAGCCGCGGUAAUACGGAGGAUUCAAGCGUUAUCCGGAUUUAUUGGGUUUAAAGGGUGCGUAGGCGGUUUGAUAAGUUAGAGGUGAAAUUUCGGGGCUCAACCCUGAACGUGCCUCUAAUACUGUUGAGCUAGAGAGUAGUUGCGGUAGGCGGAAUGUAUGGUGUAGCGGUGAAAUGCUUAGAGAUCAUACAGAACACCGAUUGCGAAGGCAGCUUACCAAACUAUAUCUGACGUUGAGGCACGAAAGCGUGGGGAGCAAACAGGAUUAGAUACCCUGGUAGUCCACGCAGUAAACGAUGAUAACUCGUUGUCGGCGACACACAGUCGGUGCAC
This 507-nucleotide ribosomal RNA is filed under the name uncultured bacterium. RNAcentral describes it as "bacterial SSU rRNA". It matches the Rfam family "Bacterial small subunit ribosomal RNA", at positions 341 to 846 of the family's 1533-position model. The record is from RNAcentral.